AAAUAUUAAGGGCUUAUGGUGGAUGCCUUGACAUCAAGAGGCGAUGAAGGGCGUGGCGUGACUGCGAUAAGCUUCGGGGAGGUGUCUAGCAACCUUUGAUCCGGAGAUUUCCGAAUGGGGAAACCCAAUUGAGCAAACCUCAAUUAUCCCGCAGCAAUGCGGGGAGCGAACCCGCUGAAGUGAAACAUCUCAGUAAGCGGAGGAAAAGAAAAUAAUAUCAGCUUUGCUGAUUCAUUCCCUUAGUAGCGGCGAGCGAACGGGGAAGAGCCUAAACCAGUGCGAAGCACUGGAAUUUUGAAGCUUGAAUUUUGAAUUAUGAACGAAUUUUUAAUAAUUUAAUUUUUAAUUAAACAUUAAGAUAUUCUGAUUUGAAUCAAAAUUCGAAAUUAGAAAUUCGAAAUUCCGCUGCUUCGCAGUGGUGUUGCAAGGUAGUAACGUUCCGGAGCAUCUCACACCUUAUGAAUUUUCACGAGGUGUGGGAUUCAUUCCGGAGGGAGUCCACAAAAAUAAAGUUUACCCUGAGUUUAUCGAGGGGCAUUGUUAAUCAAAUCUCGCUGGAAAGCGGAACCAAAGAGGGUAAUAGUCCCGUAGGUGAAAACAGCUUUAUGCUCCUAGUUAUUAUUCUUAAGUACGGCGAGGCACGAAAACCUUGUCGGAAGCCGGCAGGACUACUCUGCCAAGGCUAAAUACUCUUGAUGAUCGAUAGUGAACUAGUACCGUGAGGGAAAGGUGAAAAAUAGCCCGGUAAGGGCGGUGAAAUAGAUCUGAAACCAUAAGCUUACAA
This 784-nucleotide ribosomal RNA is filed under the name Candidatus Portnoybacteria bacterium CG_4_10_14_0_2_um_filter_44_20. RNAcentral describes it as "bacterial LSU rRNA". It matches the Rfam family "Bacterial large subunit ribosomal RNA", at positions 1 to 569 of the family's 2925-position model. Lineage: Bacteria; Candidatus Portnoyibacteriota. The record is from RNAcentral.